CACGUAGGGCGCAAGCGUUGUCCGGAAUUAUUGGGCGUAAAGAGCUCGUAGGCGGUCUGUUGCGUCCGCUGUGAAAACUCGGGGCUUAACCCCGAGCCUGCAGUGGAUACGGGCAGACUAGAGGUAGGUAGGGGAGAAUGGAAUUCCCGGUAUAGCGGUGGAAUGCGUAGAUAUCGGGAGGAACACCAGUGGCGAAGGCGGUUGCCUGGGGCUUUGCUGACGCUGAUGCGCGAAAGCGUGGGGAGCGAUCCGG
Molecule: ribosomal RNA, 253 nt
Filed under: uncultured bacterium
Lineage: Bacteria
Description: partial 16S ribosomal RNA
Rfam family: Bacterial small subunit ribosomal RNA
Source: RNAcentral